Long non-coding RNA from Vespula pensylvanica (western yellowjacket), 965 nucleotides. RefSeq lists it as uncharacterized. The record is from RefSeq and is a predicted model, not a curated record. The transcript is spliced from 6 exons. NCBI's taxonomy places the organism in Eukaryota, Metazoa, Arthropoda, Insecta, Hymenoptera, Vespidae.
AGAAAAAAAAAUACUAGUUAUUAAUGUGACGGAGACUUACAUCCUUGUUCUCUUGAGCUUCCGUGGAUUUGAACGUUUUGUUGAUCCAUUCUUUGGCAUCGAAAGUAUCCUCGGAAAACGCGGAUACAUCCUGAAAACGUCGAUUUUAAGAUACUCUCUUUCUCUCGUUGACGGAUACAUUUCGAGAGAGGAUUCGUUGGAAGAACGAAAGAGCAGUGGCAACCAAUCCCAAGCCUUUCUUCGCGAUGGAGGAGGCGAGGGAUUGGACGAAUGUUCUCCAGGGUACCGCUUUCCUAUGCUUCCGGUUGAGGAAGCACAACGACCGAUCCCAGAAAAGGCACAGAAUUACGGCGCGCGCGCGCUCGCGCGCACGAGGGGAUGAUAAUACGAGUCGGAUGAAGCAUCAGUUAGUGCCUAAUCCUCACCACCCUUGGGUUCUCUUGCUAUCACAGAGAAAGAGAGUGAACACUUGUCUCUUCUUCGUGGGGUGGUGCAUCGUCUUUCGACCGAUCGAGAAAAGAGAAACGGGAAAGAUUCAUCGUAUUUCUCGUCUAACGGAGAUAGACAGAGACAGAGACAGAGACAGAGACAGAAACAGAAACAGAGAGAAAGAGAGAGAGAUAGAAAGAGAACACACACACGCGCUCGGAGGCACGCACGCAUGCACGCACGCACGUGUAUACACCACAGCCGGAUAUAAGAUAUAAACGUGCCGUUAGGAGGAUACAUUUAUGACAGAACGAAGAGCCGUCGUCGCGUCGGCGGAAGUCGAGAAGAAACCUUGACUCUGACUAUCAUCAACGAUCUUUUCCAUCGACGAGAGGGAUAGAACGACAUCCACGACGAAGACGGGGUGGUGGCGGCGGAGGAAGGCGGAGGAGGGUGUACGGUGAAACUCAGCAACGGAGACGAGCGUAACGGCAGCGGGAGUAGCUCAAGAAGAAGAAGAAGAAGAAGAAGAAGAA